This 27-nucleotide non-coding RNA is filed under the name Homo sapiens (human). The record is from RNAcentral. Lineage: Eukaryota; Metazoa; Chordata; Mammalia; Primates; Hominidae.
UAGAGAAGCUGUGUUGUGUUGGUUAUC